This is a long non-coding RNA of Dendroctonus ponderosae (mountain pine beetle), 1936 nucleotides long. RefSeq lists it as uncharacterized. The transcript has 3 exons. The record is from RefSeq and is a predicted model, not a curated record. NCBI's taxonomy places the organism in Eukaryota, Metazoa, Arthropoda, Insecta, Coleoptera, Curculionidae.
UCUUUUAAUUAUCGUUAUUCUUAGAUAUAACCAGUGACUGUUUUAAUAGUAUUCUGUUGUUUAAGUAGGUACUUGGAUAGUACCACAACUGGUGAACGCAUCUACCUAAAAUGUGUUUUUUUACAUUUUUUCAAACACAUUUUUUCACAGCUUGUACUGGUUAGUAAACGCGUUGUUAUUAUCUUAUUAGGUAAUUUGCUACCUUAAUAGUUCUAUCCCAAACUAAAAUCUUCAUUUGUGGUGAGAUAUGUCUGUGGCUAUCUCUAUGUUCUAAGAAAACAUUCAGUCUUUAUAACUAAGUUUUUUCAAAUAGUUUUACUUUACUUAGGGACCGUUUCUUUUUUACUGSUAUUUCGCACCUUCCGUACUACCAGUCAAAAAUGGAACAUACCCUAUCAAGCAGUUCCCUCUGUCGGUCGAAUUAAAAAGGUACUUAUCCAACGGAUUGUUAUGAGCUCGAUAUAACUUUGCCUGUCACCGUUCGGAAACCCAUAAAAUCUUAUCGGUCUUAUAACUUUAUCUACUACAUAGUUAUGGAACCAAUAAGGGCAAAUGUUGAGAAACCGGGCAAGUAUAAUUUUCAAUUAACAUAGGCGACCAUUAAAAGAGAUAAUCAUUUCCACGGGUUUCAAUUUUUCAAAUAGUUUUUCAAUGUAAUGGUUGUGUCAAACUUCAAGCAUGUAAUGAAGAUAUGAAGGUAGAAAAUCAAAAAAAGAUUUUAUUGUCACAAUAAAUUAAUUAAAAUAAAUAUUUACUACGCCUAUGGCUAGUGGCCAGGCGAGCGUGUCCUUGGAUUAAUUCUACUGUCUAUAAAACAUGCGUGGGCACCUACUUUAUCCCUACCACCUGUUUUUUAUUGAUAAAUCGCCGAUCGAUAGAAUUUAAUGUUGGACCCAAACAAAUCGGGAUUUAUGCAUUUGUCUUCAUCUAUGGAUUUAUGAGUGACUAGCUUGGUCUAUUUAUUAAUAUGUCUUUGGUUAUACAGGAGCGUGUCUCGUUGGCGGCGUUUUAGAUAAGCGGUGCUCUCAGUCCUCUGUGCGCAACACAUAUCUUAUAAAAAUUAACAAAUUUCUGAUUCGAUCGAAUUUGACUAAUGAAAAGGCGGAAUUAAUGACUAGUCCGCCGUAUAGUCUUGACUUUUUGUGUCUUCAUGUUCUCCUCCUCUUGUUUUCCUGUUCCCGAGUGUUAAGAGAAAGGUGAAGGGAAGACCCUGAAACUGAACAGAAGCGGCCAAAGCGUUCGAAAACGUCGUUUUAUCGUUACAAACAAUAAAGUCUUCUUGAAAAAAAAGAUGCAUAUGUACAGCAUUACAGCAUAUGUACAGCAUACAUUUUCAGCAUAUGUACUCGGUUUGAGGAAAUUGCAAAAAAAAUUCAAAGAACUUUCGCGGUCGUUACUUACUACUGGUAAAAUUUUCAGUUCAAACAUCAGGAAUAAUUUCUAAUUUGUAACGGCCAAAAAUCCCAAAAACGCACCAGUUUUAAGUGGAAGUAAGGAAUAGUUUUGCUGUUACUUUCCUUUAAACGCUUGAAAGCACAUGGCCGUCAUAUAAAACGCCGCUAUUGAAGUUGCAAGCGCGACUGCCCUGUGAAGAACAUCUAGUUUGAUGUAGUCUCUUUGAUAAUUCAUUAAUAAUAACAUGUUCAGACCCAAUAUUAAACUUUGUAUAUCCUACCAAAAGUGAUGCUUUCGAGUUUUUUUUUCAUAUUAUGAAAAGAUCACUAGGUGGUCCGGAUGUUGACAAAACUGACCAUUUUAAAUUAUGUGUGUGAGAAGAGAAAGGAGGCCCGUCAGGCAGUAAUAAACUUAAAAUAGAAAUAUGCCAAUAUCGCCGGGCGGCCCAUCAAGAACGGUUUGGGAAAACCGCAUGGCGCCGCUCACAGCCGAGGAGGUUGUGAGAAGGUUCGAGGCAAUUGAGUCCAGACUGGAGGCCACC